GUUCACCCAGAUUGGCUACGUCCACGGAAUAGAGGAGUUCUCAUUAAUUGUGAAGGGUUUACACAAGUACAUAGGUUCAAGCUCUCCUUUAGUGAGUACAAGUGAAUGAUUUAGUACAAAUGACAUUAGGAAAUAUUGUGGGAGAAUGAUCUCGUAGCCACAAAACUUCUAAGUACCGGAGUGUGGUAUCGUCUUGACUUGCCUUAUCUGUCUCAUAGGUAGAUGUGGCAUCUUCUCUGGAAGUACUCUUCCUCCAUCCAGGGGUGGUAUCUGUAACUGGUGGAGAUGCACAAGGUAAUGCAUCAAUUUCACUUGAAGCUUACUUGUAGUUUCAUGC
This 337-nucleotide long non-coding RNA is filed under the name Malus domestica (apple). RNAcentral describes it as "long non-coding RNA (MDOM_LNC013374)". The record is from RNAcentral. Lineage: Eukaryota; Viridiplantae; Streptophyta; Magnoliopsida; Rosales; Rosaceae.